UACGAAGGGUGCUAGCGUUGUUCGGAAUGACUGGGCGUAAAGGGUGCGUAGGCGGCCAGACACGUCUGAUGUGAAAUCCCUGGGCUUAACCUAGGAACUGCAUUGGAUACGGUCUGGCUAGAGUCCGCGAGAGGAAGAUGGAAUUGUGCGUGUAGAGGUGAAAUUCGUAGAUAUGCACAAGAACACCGGUGGCGAAGGCGAUCUUCUGGAGCGGUACUGACGCUAAGGCACGAAAGUGUGGGGAGCAAACAGG
RNAcentral lists this ribosomal RNA (253 nucleotides) under uncultured bacterium. RNAcentral's name for it is "partial 16S ribosomal RNA". It matches the Rfam family "Bacterial small subunit ribosomal RNA", at positions 524 to 776 of the family's 1533-position model. The record is from RNAcentral.